GAACCACUUGACCACCUUUCCGUGUUUUUAAAAAUACAAGAAAACAAGACUCAAAAGACAAAUCUCACUAAUAACAAUAUUCAUUCAUCAUCAAAACAAAAAAAACAAAAAAAUCCCAAAAAAAGAAAAAGAAAAAGAAAAAAGAUACUGAAAGAGGUAACACCACGAAGGAAGCCACUUGACAGCUUCGUGACUGGGACACCCUUCCUCUUUACCUCCGUCACUCACACGACGCCGUUUCAUCUUCCCUCUGUCGUUUCCCUCUUCUUCUUCUCCCUCUCGAUGCCGUUUAUCUAUCCAAUUCUUCUCUCCCUUUACCGUCCCUAG
Molecule: non-coding RNA, 327 nt
Organism: Vicia faba (fava bean)
Lineage: Eukaryota; Viridiplantae; Streptophyta; Magnoliopsida; Fabales; Fabaceae
Source: the annotation of a GenBank genome assembly